RNAcentral lists this ribosomal RNA (468 nucleotides) under uncultured bacterium. Its description in RNAcentral is "partial 16S ribosomal RNA". It matches the Rfam family "Bacterial small subunit ribosomal RNA", at positions 28 to 507 of the family's 1533-position model. The record is from RNAcentral.
GACGAACGCUGGCGGCGUGCUUAACACGUGCAAGUCGAACGGAAAGGCCCUGCUUUUGUGGGGUGCUCGAGUGGCGAACGGGUGAGUAACACGUGAGUAACCUGCCCUUGACUUUGGGAUAACUUCAGGAAACUGGGGCUAAUACCGGAUAGGAGCUCCUGCUGCAUGGUGGGGGUUGGAAAGUUUCGGCGGUUGGGGAUGGACUCGCGGCUUAUCGGCUUGUUGGUGGGGUAGUGGCUUACCAAGGCUUUGACGGGUAGCCGGCCUGAGAGGGUGACCGGCCACAUUGGGACUGAGAUACGGCCCGGACGCCGUGGGGAGGCAGCAGUGAGGAAUAUUGCACAAUGGGCGGAAGCCUGAGGCAGCAACGCCGCGUGCGGGAUGACGGCCUUCUGGUUGUAAACCGCUUUCGCCUGUGACGAAGCGUGAGUGACGGUAAUGGGUAAAGAAGCACCGGCUAACUACGUG